RNAcentral lists this long non-coding RNA (1081 nucleotides) under Mizuhopecten yessoensis (Yesso scallop). RNAcentral's name for it is "uncharacterized LOC110452101, transcript variant X4". The record is from RNAcentral. Lineage: Eukaryota; Metazoa; Mollusca; Bivalvia; Pectinida; Pectinidae.
UAUUGUGACGUCAUAAUGGUAACGUUGGAGAUCCAUCGCUGCUCGCAGGCUGUAGGCUGUUCGUUUGUUUGAAUUUACGCACGUUACGGAGGGUGAGAAUCCAAGAAACUAAUGGUGACAAACCCCAAACUUGCCCAAGUUCAUACACUGAAGUUGAAUUGAGGGCAAAUGGAGGAAGAUACCGUCUUAUGUGUGACAGUACCACAGCAAAACUCGUAGAUUCAGGAGGUAAAUAUAUAGGCCUAUAUAUACACGUAUUUAAUGUAAAUUUAUAAAGUCAACUUAGUUAAAAGUAAUCCCAGACUUUAGGCCUUUAUAUGUAUGUUUCUAAAUAUUUUAAAUUCAAAAGCAGACCUGAAAGUUAAUAUUCGUUAACAGUUUGAUUUAAAAAAAGGUAUCAGAUAAUGAGAGAAGUAAUACAAUAUACUGUACGUUUAUUUUUAAUCCGAAAUAUGCCACCACAAUAACUGAAAUACUAAAAAGAUUGCCAUCAAGGGCAAGUGCUGAGCCUCAGGAAGGUUUUUCAGAAGCCAGUACAUCAACCGUAGAGAGAUCAAGGCCUACUGCUGUGACACCAACAGUUAAUACCACUUGAUCCAGAGAAGAAGCAGAACAGAAAAGUGUGUCCAACAUCUCACCCAAUGCAGGCGAUUAGAAGCUCUGGAGAAAUGCAGAAGCACUCAACCUUGUCCUGCUGAGAUUGGAGAAAAAUGAAAAAUUUCUGAGUGGCAAAUCAUCACACAGUGUCUUGUGGAACGAAAUAAGUAAGAACGUUGGAAAGGCUACACCAAUACAGUGUAUCAAUAAGUGGAAAAAACAUACAGAAAACAUACAUGCAUACCAAAGACCAAAACUCAAAAACUGGUAACCAUCCUCAAACUUGCCCCUUUUAUGAAGAACUUAAUGCUGUCUAUGGGUGCAAAGCCUCAACAUCCCCUAGUGUUACAAUUGAUACUCUGGGCAGCCAGUCGGAUACAUAUUCAUAGUCAUCACAGCACAAGAAACUUACACCAAUCAUUACACAGUGCCUUGUAUGACGAAAUAAGUAAGAACGUUGGAAAACUUAAUUAAUAUUGUUGCA